GAUGAACGCUGGCGGCGUGCCUAAUACAUGCAAGUCGAGCGAACAGACGAGGAGCUUGCUCCUCUGACGUUAUCGGCGGACGUGUGAGUAACACGUGGAUAACCUACCUAUAAGACUGGGAUAACUUCGGGAAACCGGAGCUAAUACCGGAUAAUAUAUUGAACCGCAUGGUUCAAUAGUGAAAGACGGUUUUGCUGUCACUUAUAGAUGGAUCCGCGCCGCAUUAGCUAGUUGGUAAGGUAACGGCUUACCAAGGCAACGAUGCGUAGCCGACCUGAGAGGGUGAUCGGCCAAACUGGAAGUGAGACACGGUAAAGAGGACUACGGGAGGCAGCAGUAGGGAAUGUGACGAAAGGGGCGAAAGCAUGACGGAGCAACGCCGCGUGAGUGAUGAAGGUCUUCGGAUCGUAAAACUCUGUUAUUAGGGAAGAACAAAUGUGUAAGUAAAUAUGCACGUCUUGACGGUACCUAAUCAGAAAGCCACGGCUAACUACGUG
RNAcentral lists this ribosomal RNA (497 nucleotides) under uncultured bacterium. RNAcentral describes it as "partial 16S ribosomal RNA". It matches the Rfam family "Bacterial small subunit ribosomal RNA", at positions 28 to 507 of the family's 1533-position model. The record is from RNAcentral.